This 337-nucleotide unclassified non-coding RNA is filed under the name soil metagenome. RNAcentral describes it as "partial contains 5.8S ribosomal RNA, internal transcribed spacer 2, and large subunit ribosomal RNA". The stretch from base 1 to 121 matches the Rfam family "5.8S ribosomal RNA", at positions 35 to 154 of the family's 154-position model. The record is from RNAcentral.
GAUGAAGAACGGUAGUGAAAUGCGAUAAGUAAUGUGAAUUGCAGAAUUCAGUGAAUCAUCGAAUCUUUGAACGCACAUUGCGCCCGCCAGUAUUCUGGCGGGCAUGCCUGUUCGAGCGUCAUUUCAACCAUCAAGCCCCCGGCUUGUGUUGGGGACCUGCGGCUGCCGCAGGCCCUGAAAAGCAGUGGCGGGCUCGCUGUCACACCGAGCGUAGUAGCAUACAUCUCGCUCUGGGCGUGCUGCGGGUUCCGGCCGUUAAACCACCUUCAUAACCCAAGGUUGACCUCGGAUCAGGUAGGAAGACCCGCUGAACUUAAGCAUAUCAAUAAGCGGAGGA